GCCUUCAGCGAGAGCCAAUCAUUUGCAUAUCACCAUGGCACUACAGUUGUAUAUCAUGUGUGCGGUGUUAUCAUGAAGCCUUAAAGCCUGCAUAAACCAAAUCAAAGGAAAUGCUUUAACAGGCCGUUAUGUCUGGGUCUCUGAAAGAUUCCCCCUGGAGCUCUGAGCAAGGCUCACCCUAGACGACCUGGUCUGGCUGCUCCCUGUUCCCACUGACCUUUGGGCAGAGGACACAUCUCUGGCUGCAAGCACAGCAUAUGGUCCGUAGGCCACAACAUUGUCUGAGCCAGUCGUGUCAGAUCAGAAGAAGGGGAAGUCCUAAAAGGGGAACCUUUUAUCUUGGUGACACCGCUUUUCACCUCCACUGGUGACUUACUGGGGGCCGGUGCUCCUGUUGCACCCUGGGAUACCAAACGAUGGAGGAUGCCUCUAGCCCACGUACCCUGGCAACCGUUCUUGAAGCCUACAGCUCCACUCUCCAAACCUCCACCCCCUAACCCCUCCACUCCAUCCCUUCACCCAGCGUCCCCAGUCCAGGGCUCUGGCCACACAUAAACCCCAGACAGGCCUCUGAUGGAUGGGGCUGGAGAGAGAAGAAAAGCCCUUGAUGUUAGAAAUAAAUCUGACAGGCCCUACUGGAAAGGGCUAGGCCUAAUCUUUCCCAGACUAAGGUUUUUUCCUUUUCUUAUUUUUUAUAUCCUUCUCUCUCUUUAUUUCCACCCCCACUCUCUUCUCUUCGUCCAUGUCUACAGAGAUAAUGCUGUAAUUUACAGCCAAGCAUUAUGGAAGAUGAAUGAUAGUUGCUUUUUAGACUUAAUACACAUUAGCCUUUAACAGAUAAUAGCCUACUGGUAAGAGGAAAACAAAGAAAUACCUUCAAAAGGAAUUUGUUUUUUGGUCAUAUUCUUCCCCUGAUGUUCUAAAUGUUAUAUAAUUCCUAUUCUUUCAUAAGAUUCAAAGUUGCUACUGAUCAAAGUACACUGAUCAAUCUUCUUUUCAAAGGUACCUUGCUUUUAUUUUUCAUAUUCAUGGUUAAAGUAUGGUGGAGAAUAGACAGUAAAGCAAUGCUUUUCCCAUUUCUAUGACUGUUUGUGAUUCUCCUGAGUGUAUACAUGUGUGACACUGGCUGUAAAGAAACACUGUGGAUAUAAUUUGAAACACACACGAACACACACACACAGGUCAACAGCAGAUCCACAACAGUGGUUUCAGGGCCACUGACAGUCACUCAAUUAGCUAACCAUUUUUAGAUUGGUAAGUUACUUUAGCCAGUUAUCUAAACUUGUAGUAGUCAUGGCCGAAUAGGGACCGGGCACGCAAGGCACGUGCCCAGGGGCCCUGACCUCCAAGGGGCCACCAUUGAUUUUGUUAGUCACUUUCACUCAGGUAUCAUUAACAUGGCAAAAUGUGUAUAAUUGUAGGAAAUUUGCUUUAAAUCUGCUAAGAUUUCUCUUCACCCCAUGGCAAAAUGGGUAGAACUGCAGAAAACUUGCUUUAAAACUGCAACAACAACAAAAGCUUUUCUCUACCCUAUGGCAAAAUGUGUAGAAUUGGAAAUGAACUUUAAACGUACAUUUCUCUCCCCAGUCAAGAGGUGGGCCACUAAAAAUGUUUGCUCGCUUGUUUAGGGCCCCCAAAAUGCUAGAGUGGUUUGGUUCUGCAUGCAUCAGCCAGCUCCGUGCUAUAGCAGAGGAUCAGCCUUGCGGACAGUGGAGUGUGCAGUGCAGGAAUCCCAGUGUCUGUCCUCUGGCCAGUCUCCACAGUUUCCCCUGGGAACCUCCAUUGACUCUUCUGAAUGGCCCUAAUGACCUGAGCUGCUCCCAGGCCGCUGGCCAACGCUCUAACAGGUGGCAUGCAGGGGUGAAAGAUCAAGUCAAUGUGUGUGUCAAUAGGUUACCUAACACAGAGACACAAUCAAAGCAGUAAAUGGACCCUAAAACACGACCUUAUUCACUUUAGUCAAACGGACUAAUUUCAAGUUGUAUUUUCACUGACAUUAAUUACCUCUGCAGAAAUGACAUUCGUAUGUGUUUAUUUUGGUUCGUUAGGUCAAGUCAACCUUACUGAAAAUGAAUGGAUAAAACCAAACAAAUACAGUAAUCAGAAUAAGAGCUCAACCAUGCUGUACACGGAGCAUGGGGUUUGGACCCCACAUGUUUUUUUACACUAUGGUGUAGAAAUGAAAGCCUAGAUUCAAUCAGAUCAGGCGUUAGCUGAAGGUAGCGACACCCGCAUAGCUGAUGCUUAGGUGGUGUCGGAGGUGGAAAUGCGUUGGAGUUGAGCAGCUGCUCUUGGGAUCAUUGUCACGCAGCCACACCCGUCUCACUCGCGUUAGAAGUUCAGAACCAGAAAGUGUAUCCUAUAUAGAAAUAAUGACG
Molecule: long non-coding RNA, 2378 nt
Filed under: Salmo salar (Atlantic salmon)
Lineage: Eukaryota; Metazoa; Chordata; Actinopteri; Salmoniformes; Salmonidae
Description: lncRNA (ENSSSAG00000115200.1)
Source: RNAcentral